RNAcentral lists this ribosomal RNA (422 nucleotides) under uncultured bacterium. RNAcentral describes it as "partial 16S ribosomal RNA". It matches the Rfam family "Bacterial small subunit ribosomal RNA", at positions 360 to 774 of the family's 1533-position model. The record is from RNAcentral.
AAUCUUGGACAAGGGGGGAAACCCUGAUCAAGCCAUCCCGCGUGUAUGAUGAAGGCCUUCGGGUCGUAAAGUACUUUUGGCAGAGAAGAAAAGGUAUCUCCUAAUACGAGAUACUGCUGACGGCAUCUGCAGAAUAAGUACCGGCUAACUACGCGCCAGCAGCCGAGGUAGUACGUAGGGUGCAAGCGUUAAUAGGAAUUACUGGGCGUAAAGCGUGUGUAUGCGGUUCGGAAAGAAAGAUGUGAAAUCCCAGGGCUCAACCUUGGAACUGCAUUUUUAACGUCCGAGCUAGAGUAUAUCAGAGGGGGGUAGAAUUCCACGUGUAGCAGUGAAAUGCGUAGAUAUGCGGAGGAAUACCGAUGGCGAAGGCAGCCCCCUGGGAUAAUACUGACGCUCAGACACGAAAGCGUGGGGAGCAAACA